RNAcentral lists this ribosomal RNA (468 nucleotides) under uncultured bacterium. RNAcentral describes it as "partial 16S ribosomal RNA". It matches the Rfam family "Bacterial small subunit ribosomal RNA", at positions 28 to 507 of the family's 1533-position model. The record is from RNAcentral.
GACGAACGCUGGCGGCGUGCUUAACACAUGCCAGUCGAACGGAAAGGCCCUGCUUUUGUGGGGUGCUCGAGUGGCGAACGGGUGAGUAACACGUGAGUAACCUGUCCUUGACUUUGGGAUAACUUCAGGAAACUGGGGCUAAUACCGGAUAGGAGCUCCUGCUGCAUGGUGGGGGUUGGAAAGUUUCGGCGGUUGGGGAUGGACUCGCGGCUUAUCAGCUUGUUGGUGGGGUAGUGGCUUACCAAGGCUUUGACGGGUAGCCGGCCUGAGAGGGUGACCGGCCACAUUGGGACUGAGAUACGGCCCAGACUCCUACGGGAGGCAGCAGUGGGGAAUAUUGCACAAUGGGCGGAAGCCUGAUGCAGCAACGCCGCGUGCGGGAUGACGGCCGUCGGGUUGUAAACCGCUUUCACCUGUGACGAAGCGUGAGUGACGGUAAUGGGUAAAGAAGCACCGGCUAACUACGUG